GGAAGAGCAGGUUGCCAGCAGUCACCCAGAAUUGCCAGUGCUGCAAGGCCGCAAAGAGCAGGGCUCUCCAGGCCACACAGCUCUGCACCUUGCUCCUCUGCUCGUGGGUCUUUUGCUCCAGCUCCUGCAGCAGCCGAGCCAUCUCCUGGCUGAGCUGCUCCACACACUGCUGCAUGGGGUCACGUGUGGGUUCAGCCAGUUCAUCA
Long non-coding RNA from Strigops habroptila (Kakapo), 206 nucleotides. RefSeq lists it as uncharacterized. The record is from RefSeq and is a predicted model, not a curated record. The transcript has 3 exons. NCBI's taxonomy places the organism in Eukaryota, Metazoa, Chordata, Aves, Psittaciformes, Psittacidae.